GACGAACGCUGGCGGCGUGCUUAACACAUGCAAGUCGAACGGAAAGGCCCUGCUUUUGUGGGGUGCUCGAGUGGCGAACGGGUGAGUAACACGUGAGUAACCUGCCCUUGACUUUGGGAUAACUUCAGGAAACUGGGGCUAAUACCGGAUAGGAGCUCCUGCUGCAUGGUGGGGGUUGGAAAGUUUCUGCGGUUGGGGAUGGACUCGCGGCUUAUCAGCUUGUUGGUGGGGUAGUGGUUUACCAAGGCUUUGACGGGUAGCCGGCCUGAGAGGGUGACCGGCCACAUUGGGACUGAGAUACGGCCCAGACUCCUACGGGAGGCAGCAGUGGGGAAUAUUGCACAAUGGGCGGAAGCCUGAUGCAGCAACGCCGCGUGCGGGAUGACGGCCUUCGGGUUGUAAACCGCUUUCGCCUGUGACGAAGCGUGAGUGACGGUAAUGGGUAAAGAAGCACCGGCUAACUACGUG
Molecule: ribosomal RNA, 468 nt
Filed under: uncultured bacterium
Lineage: Bacteria
Description: partial 16S ribosomal RNA
Rfam family: Bacterial small subunit ribosomal RNA
Source: RNAcentral